AAUGGAGCGGGAAGCAGGACAAAUGAGGCCCGGCCCGCGCGGCCGACAGGCCCCUCCAUCUUCCCAUUAGCGCCUAAUGGCCCCCCCGCCGCCGCCUGAUGAAGAUUUAUCGGCCCCGGAGCCCCCGCCCCCCGGCCCGGCCUCGCCGCACCCGGCCCCCACCGCCCUCCCGCCGCGGACACCUGAUGAAGCCGUCACCGCGGCGGGAGGGGCAGCUGGCGACCUCGACCAACGCUAGGCCGAGACCCUACCGGGCCGCCAGAGUUCUGGGAGCCAGAGAGUCCCUGAGACCCGGAGACCCGAUGGCUAGGGAGCCCCAACAGUCAGCCGGACCCCUAGGCGGAAGAGCGAAUCGCGCCCCAUCCAUCAACAGGCUCGAAGCCUCCCUAAUAAAAACAUUUUACUCCUAAA
Long non-coding RNA from Mus musculus (house mouse), 411 nucleotides. RefSeq annotates it as predicted gene, 36809. NCBI's taxonomy places the organism in Eukaryota, Metazoa, Chordata, Mammalia, Rodentia, Muridae. The transcript is spliced from 2 exons. The record is from RefSeq and is marked validated.